RNAcentral lists this transfer RNA (74 nucleotides) under Chloroflexota bacterium. RNAcentral's name for it is "tRNA-Val". It matches the Rfam family "tRNA". From Rfam's summary of the family: Transfer RNA (tRNA) molecules are approximately 80 nucleotides in length. Lineage: Bacteria; Bacillati; Chloroflexota. The record is from RNAcentral. RNAcentral also lists the same sequence under 3 other names.
GGGCGCUUAGCUCAGUUGGUUAGAGCACUUCUUUUACACAGAAGGGGUCGGGGGUUCGAGUCCCUCAGCGCCCA